Molecule: ribosomal RNA, 821 nt
Filed under: Stromatocyphella conglobata
Lineage: Eukaryota; Fungi; Basidiomycota; Agaricomycetes; Agaricales
Description: LSU rRNA
Rfam family: Eukaryotic large subunit ribosomal RNA
Source: RNAcentral
UCCCCUAGUAACUGCGAGUGAAGCGGGAAGAGCUCAAAUUUAAAAUCUGGCAGGUUUCCUGUCCGAGUUGUAAUCUAGAGAAGUGCUAUCCGCGUUGGACCGUGUACAAGUCUCCUGGAAUGGAGCGUCAUAGAGGGUGAGAAUCCCGUCUUUGACACGGACUACCAAUGCUUUGUGAUGCGCUCUCAAAGAGUCGAGUUGUUUGGGAAUGCAGCUCAAAAUGGGUGGUAAAUUCCAUCUAAAGCUAAAUAUUGGCGAGAGACCGAUAGCGAACAAGUACCGUGAGGGAAAGAUGAAAAGAACUUUGGAAAGAGAGUUAAACAGUACGUGAAAUUGUUGAAAGGGAAACGCUUGAAGUCAGUCGCGUUGGCUAGGGAUCAACCUGGUUUAAUCACCCGGUGCACUUCUUAGUCUACGGGUCAGCAUCAGUUUUGAUUGAUGGAUAAAGGUUGGGGGAAUGUGGCAUCUCCGGAUGUGUUAUAGCCCUCGAUUGUAUACAUCAGUUGGGACUGAGGAACUCAGCACGCCGAAAGGCCGGGGUAUUACCCACGUACGUGCUUAGGAUGCUGGCAUAAUGGCUUUAAUCGACCCGUCUUGAAACACGGACCAAGGAGUCUAACAUGCCUGCGAGUGUUUGGGUGGAAAACCCGAGCGCGUAAUGAAAGUGAAAGUUGAGAUCUCUGUCGUGGAGAGCAUCGACGCCCGGUCCAGAGCUUUUGUGACGGUGCCGCGGUAGAGCAUGUAUGUUGGGACCCGAAAGAUGGUGAACUAUGCCUGAAUAGGGUGAAGCCAGAGGAAACUCUGGUGGAGGCUCGUAGCGA